AACGAACGCUGGCGGCAUGCCUAACACAUGCAAGUCGAACGAGACCUUCGGGUGUAGUGGCGCACGGGUGCGUAACGCGUCGGAACCUGCCCUUAGGUUCGGCAUAACUCCCCGAAAGGGGUGCUAAUACCGGAUAAUGUCUUCGGCCCAAAGAUUUAUCGCCUUUGGAUGGUCCCGCGUUGGAUUAGCUAGUUGGUAGGGUAAAAGCCUACCAAGGCGACGAUCCAUAGCUGGUCUGAGAGGAUGAUCAGCCACACUGGGACUGAGACACGGCCCAGACUCCUACGGGAGGCAGCAGUGGGGAAUAUUGGACAAUGGGCGAAAGCCUGAUCCAGCAAUGCCGCGUGAGUGAUGAAGGCCUUAGGGUUGUAAAGCUCUUUUACCCGGGAUGAUAAUGACAGUACCGGGAGAAUAAGCUCCGGCUAACUCCGUG
Molecule: ribosomal RNA, 433 nt
Filed under: uncultured bacterium
Lineage: Bacteria
Description: partial 16S ribosomal RNA
Rfam family: Bacterial small subunit ribosomal RNA
Source: RNAcentral